Molecule: long non-coding RNA, 360 nt
Organism: Hyla sarda
Lineage: Eukaryota; Metazoa; Chordata; Amphibia; Anura; Hylidae
Exons: 3
Source: RefSeq, a predicted model, not a curated record
UCACCCAAUAACUCUAUUUUCCAUUCCUAUUUUACCUUUCUUAUGCCUAAUUUACAAAAGUUUGCCCGACUGUUAAUUAAUUUUUCACUACAUUUAAAAAAAGGCUUUGGUUUUCUGGUUUCUGGUUACAGUGUGAAAAUGACCUCAAAGACCUGACAGUGUUGCUUCAGGGAAAAUGGGGAUUUGCCAGGUGUCUUCCUUGAAGACAAUUGAUAUUACACAGUUGUAGUAUCACAUCACCUCUGGGCCUGUCUAAAGAUUUAAAAUCUAUUGAGAUUUUCUGGGAAGACCCGGAAGAUGUAGGAUGAAGUUUUCCUUGACUGCAAAGCUGUUUGCUGCGAACAAAUAGAAACAAAGCUA